AAUGAACGCUGGCGGCGCGCCUAAUACAUGCAAGUCGAGCGAGAAGACGUAGCAAUACGUUUGUAAAGCGGCGAACGGGUGAGGAAUACAUGGGUAACCUACCCUAGAGUGGGGAAUAACUAGCCGAAAGGUUAGCUAAUACCGCGUACGCUCCUUGGACUUCGGUUCAGGGAGGAAAGCGAUGCCGAGGGUAUCGCGCUCUUGGAUGGGCUCAUGUCCUAUCAGCUUGUUGGGAGGUAACGGCUCACCAAGGCUUCGACGGGUAGCUGGUCUGAGAGGACGAUCAGCCACACUGGCACUGCGACACGGGCCAGACUCCUACGGGGGCAGCAGUAAGGAAUAUUGCGCAAUGGGCGAAAGCCUGACGCAGCGACGCCGCGUGGGGGAUGAAGGUCUUCGGAUUGUAAACCCCUUUCGGGA
This 420-nucleotide ribosomal RNA is filed under the name uncultured bacterium. RNAcentral describes it as "bacterial SSU rRNA". It matches the Rfam family "Bacterial small subunit ribosomal RNA", at positions 29 to 441 of the family's 1533-position model. The record is from RNAcentral.